RNAcentral lists this unclassified non-coding RNA (622 nucleotides) under Hypochaeris radicata (hairy cat's-ear). Its description in RNAcentral is "sequence contains ITS1, 5.8S rRNA gene and ITS2". The stretch from base 257 to 412 matches the Rfam family "5.8S ribosomal RNA". The record is from RNAcentral. Lineage: Eukaryota; Viridiplantae; Streptophyta; Magnoliopsida; Asterales; Asteraceae.
UCGAACCCUGCAUGGCAGAACGACCAGUUAACACGUAAAUACAACUGGGUGAUGGGGAGAUGGGCCUUGGCUCUUUUCCUUAUCCCCUCUCGGUGUGUGUUUGUGAUGCCUCUUUUGGGGCGCCACUGACGUCAUGCUGAACCUUAACAAACCCCGGCACGGCAUGUGCCAAGGAAAACAAAAUCGAGAAGGACGCGUCUUGUGUUGCCCCGUUCGCGGUGUGCAUGCGGGCCGUGGCCUUUUUAUAAUUACAAACGACUCUCGGCAACGGAUAUCUCGGCUCACGCAUCGAUGAAGAACGUAGCAAAAUGCGAUACUUGGUGUGAAUUGCAAAAUCCCGUGAACCAUCGAGUUUUUGAACGCAAGUUGCGCCCGAAGCCAUCCGGCCGAGGGCACGCCUGCCUGGGCGUCACGCAUCGCGUCGCCCCCACCAAAUUUCCAAAUCUGGUUGGGGGCGGAGAUUGGCCUCCCGUACCUGUUGUGGUUGGCCUAAAAAGGAGUCCCCUUCGGUGGACACACGACUAGUGGUGGUUGAACAGACCCUCGUCUUUAUUGUGUGUCAUGAGCUGCUAGGGAGCCCUCAUCAAAGACCCUUUGUAUCGUUUUCGGACGGUGCUUCGAC